Molecule: ribosomal RNA, 336 nt
Filed under: uncultured bacterium
Lineage: Bacteria
Description: bacterial SSU rRNA
Rfam family: Bacterial small subunit ribosomal RNA
Source: RNAcentral
AAGGGUAGCAAUACCUGAGUAAAGUGGCGCACGGGUGAGUAACACGUGACUAACCUACCCUGGAGUGGGGGAUAACUGAGGGAAACCUUAGCUAAUACCGCAUAAUACCUACGGGUCAAAGGAGCAAUUCGCUUUGGGAGGGGGUCGCGGCCGAUUAGUUAGUUGGCGGGGUAAUGGCCCACCAAGACGAUGAUCGGUAUCCGGCCUGAGAGGGCGCACGGACACACUGGAACUGAAACACGGUCCAGACUCCUACGGGAGGCAGCAGCGGGGAAUUUUGCGCAAUGGGGGAAACCCUGACGCAGCAACGCCGCGUGGAGGAUGAAGUCCUUCGGG